Molecule: RNA transcript, 2812 nt
Organism: Malus domestica (apple)
Lineage: Eukaryota; Viridiplantae; Streptophyta; Magnoliopsida; Rosales; Rosaceae
Gene name: pentatricopeptide repeat-containing protein At5g66520-like
Source: RefSeq, a predicted model, not a curated record
UGAAGUUUUAUAACAAAAAUACAGAAAAACCCAUCAGCCACCACGCCUCUGCACCCACCCAACCCAGUGAGCCGCCCACCACCCAGUGGCCGGCAAACCCUCCCUUCUCGAUUCCGGCAAAAGCUCAUCCUUUGAACCUUCUGCCUCUUCCUCUCACCUUUUCUUAUCUACCCAGCGAAAGCAAACCCAACACAAACCCACAACAUCUCCAUGGCUAAGUUGAGAAAACCGAAUUGAUUUGUGCCGCCGCCGCCGCCGCCGCCUUCAGAGACGAAUAUCUCUCGUCAACAGAAGCUCAGAUUCCCCAAUUCCUUCGGCAUCAAUCAGGUUUAAUUGCUUACUAUUUGUUCAAUGGGGUUUACAAGAACUGACUGAAAAGAAGGAACAGAUUAUGGCUUUCAUAGGACUUUGUCAUUCACUUGAAACCCCAUGGCGGAUCUUGGAUAUGAUCAUGUUCGAGUGUCACACAAAUAAGCACUUUCCCACAAAGUCUGAUAAAUAAAACAGGGGCUUAAAAUGGGAGCUGCUGCUUUGUCAGCUUCAAAGUGUGCUCCAGAUGGGCAGCAAAGUUGUUUUAAAACCAGUAACUUGUCCUCCAUAUCUUCUCCUACUACAAAGAUGUUCAAGCUUGGACGAAUUUAAGAAAAUUCAUGCCCAUGCAGUCACUACUGGUCUUGCUCGUUUUGCCUACACUGCCAGCAAGCUCAUAGCCUUCUCUGCAUUAUCAGAACAUGGUAAUAUGCACUACGCUGAGACACUGUUACACCAAAUUCCAAGACCCAAUGUAUUUGAUUACAAUUCCAUGAUAAUGGGUUUCUUGAAAAGCUCAGAAUCUGAAAAGGGUCUCUCCAUUUACCCCAGAAUGAGAAGGAUAGGCACAGAGCCAAACGCUCGUACUUUCACCUUUUUAGUUAAAGCAUGUUUUGAUGUAUCUUUGCUUGGUCAGGUACAUGGUCAAAUAAUGAAGUUUGGGCAUGGGUGUGAUGUUUAUGUUAUUAGCUCACUUAUUAGGGCCUCCUGUCGAUGUGAAGCUGUGGAAUUUGCUCGUAGAGUGUUUGAGGAAAGUUUGGAUAAGAAUGUGGUUUGUUGGACUAGUCUUAUUAGUGGAUAUUGUAGUAAUGGGCUGGUUCAUGAAGCUCGUGAUCUGUUUGAUGCAAUGCCAGAUAUAAAUGAUGUUUCUUAUAGUGCAAUGGUUUCUGGGUAUGUUGGGAAUGCUUGUUUCAAUGAAGCAAUUGACCUGUUUCGUCAAUUGAAAAGCCAUACACAAGUGAGGCUCAAAGAGUCUCUUUUGGUUAGCACUCUUAAUGCUUGUGCGUCUGUGGGUGCCUUUGAAGAAGGGAAGUGGAUUCAUUCGUUUUUGGAAGAAAAUGGUUUUGAGUAUGGACUUGAGCUUGGUACUGCACUAGUAGAUUUUUAUGCAAAAUGUGGAUGUAUUAAAGACGCACAAGACGUGUUUAGCAGGAUGCCUCGUAAAGAUGUAACUACUUGGAGUGCUAUGAUCAUGGGAUUUGCCAUCAAUGGUGAGAAUGAUAUGGGGCUUGAGCUUUUUGCAGAAAUGGAAAAGAAAGGACCUAAACCAAAUGCAGUGACAUUUGUUGGAGUACUCACUGCAUGUAAUCACAAAAUUCUGGUAAAUGAAGCAUGGCGGUUAAUAGGACGCAUGAGUAAGGUUUAUGGCAUUGCUCUGGGGAUUGAGCACUAUGGCUGCAUGGUUGAUCUCUUGGCCUGUGCUGGGAAACUGAAUGAAGCUGAGAUAUUGAUAAGAAGUAUGGCAAUGAAACCGGACGGUGCUAUUUGGGGGUCUUUGUUUAAUGGAUGUCUGAUACAUGACCAUGUUGACUUAGGGGCGAGGGUGGGGAAGCUUUUGAUUGAAUUAGAGCCUCAACAUAGUGGUAGGUAUGUUCUUCUGGCCAACAUGUAUGCCAAAAUGGGCAACUGGGAGGAUGUGACGAGGCUAAGGAAAAUGAUGAGAGAUAGAGAAGUAGUUACAAUUUCUGCUUGGAGCUUCAUUGAGACUGAUGGUAUUGUCCAUAAAUUUAUAGCAGACGAUAAGUCUCAUUCCCAUUCGAGAAAGAUAAACAGAACCUUAAACCAACUCAGCAGGGCACUUGAAAGUUUUUCCAUUGCCGGUGACGCAUCGUUACUUUAAAGAAAUCAUUAUCUUGGAAAUGGAAGGACCAAUCCGCAGGCAAGUCAAUCCUGUCUUUUCGAAGACGCAUCUAGCUACAAUCUUUACGUUGAAUACUACAGCCUAGCUGAGUUGAGUUCUGGCAAACAUAACUCAAGCAUGCGAGUGAUAUGCUGUUGUAUUUAGCUCAGACGCCUGCCUCCUUUGGUGUGUCUAAUUCAACUUGCGUUCGCAGCAAAGAAAGGUUGUUGAAAUUCCUGUGUUCCCAAUCAGCUAUUUUAAAGUUUUCUCCACAUCCAUGAGAAGGCAGUUGCAGAAAUGAGUCGUACAUCUUCCUAAUAUUUAAUUCCCACGGUUACUCUGAUGUCUGCAAAACUGGCUAUGAGGUACCGUUUGGUAUAUGGGACGGGACGGAAUGGAGUGGGACGAGGCGUUCCGUCCCACGUUUGGUGCGCCUAAAACAGAUGGAAUGCGCUGUUCCACGGGACGAAUUUUUGGUGGAUUUUCGUUUCACCUCACCCUCUUGAACGACUCGUUCCACAUCCGUGCAACACAAAAUUAUAACCUCUCUGUCUCCUUCUUCUUCCUCCUUGUUUCCAUCCGAGUGCAUCUUUACUUCCUCUUCGUUCCGGAUCAUCCUGUCUCGUCCCGUCCCGUUCCGUCUGCAUACCAAACGAUACCUGA